RNAcentral lists this ribosomal RNA (497 nucleotides) under uncultured bacterium. RNAcentral's name for it is "partial 16S ribosomal RNA". It matches the Rfam family "Bacterial small subunit ribosomal RNA", at positions 28 to 507 of the family's 1533-position model. The record is from RNAcentral.
GAUGAACGCUGGCGGCGUGCCUAAUACAUGCAAGUCGAGCGAACAGACGAGGAGCUUGCCUCUCUUACGUUAGCGGCGGACGGGUGAGUAACACGUGGAUAACCUACCUAUAAGACUGGGAUAACUUCGGGAAACCGGAGCUAAUACCGGAUAAUAUAUUGAACCGCAUGGUUCAAUAGUGAAAAACGGUUUUGCUGUCACUUAUAGAUGGAACCGCGCCGCAUUAGCUAGUUGGUAAGGUAACGGCUUACCAAGGCGACGAUGCGUAGCCGACCUGAGAGGAUGAUCGGCCACACUGGAACUGAGACACGGUCCAGACUCCUACGGGAGGCAGCAGUAGGGAAUCUUCCGCAAUGGGCGAAAGCCUGACGGAGCAACGCCGCGUGAGUGAUGAAGGUCUUCGGAUCGUAAAGCUCUGUUAUUAGGGAAGAACAAAUGUGUAAGUAACUAUGCACGUCUUGACGGUACCUAAUCAGAAAGCCACGGCUAACUACGUG